CCAUGCCACUGACUGCUGCCACAAAACCACACCAAAUAUCCGAUGUAGAAUCAUGGAGGAUUAUUAUCAAACAAGCAGUGUGUGCCACCUGCCUGCUGUCAUCUUCAGAACCAAGAGGGGGCUGGGGGUCUGUGCCGACCCCGACAGUGUGAGAGUUCAGCGUUGUAUGGAAGAGCUGGACUCAGCCAACACCGGGGAAACGGUUGGUUGAGGAGAAGCUGUGCUAGAUGCCACGCACCCACCUCCACUCUCUCAGCUUCUGGGAGUUCCGUGGCCUGAACUCUUUUGUCA
Phyllostomus discolor (pale spear-nosed bat) is the source of this 291-nucleotide long non-coding RNA. RefSeq lists it as uncharacterized. The transcript has 2 exons. The record is from RefSeq and is a predicted model, not a curated record. Lineage: Eukaryota; Metazoa; Chordata; Mammalia; Chiroptera; Phyllostomidae.